GGGUAUGUAGCUCACAGAAAUGGCCGAGUCCGCCUGUCGAGCGGAAGGCCGGGAUUUCGAAAUUCCUCAUACCCGCCA
RNAcentral lists this transfer RNA (78 nucleotides) under Candidatus Brocadiales bacterium. Its description in RNAcentral is "tRNA-OTHER". Lineage: Bacteria; Pseudomonadati; Planctomycetota; Candidatus Brocadiia; Candidatus Brocadiales. The record is from RNAcentral.